Molecule: RNA transcript, 4857 nt
Organism: Helianthus annuus (common sunflower)
Lineage: Eukaryota; Viridiplantae; Streptophyta; Magnoliopsida; Asterales; Asteraceae
Gene name: abscisic-aldehyde oxidase
Exons: 11
Source: RefSeq, a predicted model, not a curated record
UGUGAACAUAUACACAUAAAGUUAACUUUUUUAAAACAAGAUUCGCAAAAGUCGAAGACUUUUAGGUAGUAGUUACACAUCACUCACAUUCCUCACUUUCCGUACUCAGAUUUGCUUCACUUCACCGACUCUUCUUCCCCACAACAACAAUGGAAGAUACCCAACUUAUAUCCACACAAAGAUUGGUGUUUGCUGUGAAUGGUGAGCGUUUUGAGCUCUCUGAAGUGGACCCUUCAACCACUCUGCUUCAGUUCUUGCGGUCUCAUACUCGUUUCAAGAGUGUUAAGCUUGGUUGCGGUGAAGGUGGUUGUGGAGCUUGUAAUGUUUUACUGUCCAAGUUCAAUCCCAAGCUCAAACAAGUCGAAGAUUACACAAUCAGUUCAUGUCUCACACUUCUUUGCAGCAUAAACGCGUGUUCAAUCACAUCAACCGAAGGUCUCGGCAACAUCAAAGACGGGUUUCAUCCCAUUCACGAACGUUUCGCUGGUUUCCACGCGUCUCAAUGCGGUUUCUGCACCCCUGGGAUGUGCAUGUCACUCUUUUCCGCGCUCGUUAACUCAGAAAAAACUCAUCGGCCCGAACCCGCUCUCGGUUUCUCCAAACUCACCGUCUCCGAAGCCGAAAAAUCGAUUUCCGGUAAUCUAUGUCGAUGCACGGGUUACCGUCCGAUCGCUGACGUAUGCAAAAGUUUCGCAGCCGAUGUCGAUAUGGAAGAUUUGGGACUUAACUCAUUCCGUAAAAAUGAUACCAAACUUCAUAAACUGCCAUUCUAUGAUUCGAAACAGAUAACUACGUAUCCCGAGUUCUUGAAAAACGAAUACGAAUCGACAACAGUUUUAAAUAAUCGAAACAAGUCUUGGUAUAGUCCACGUUCGAUAGAGGAACUCACGAGUUUGGUGGAAUACAACUCUGCUGACAACGGUGUAAUGGUAAAACUAGUUGCUGGUAAUACUGGAGCCGGUUAUUAUAAGGAAACCGAUCAGUAUGACACGUACAUUGACCUUCGGUUUAUUCCGGAACUUUCCACAAUCAAGAAAGCCGGCUCGCAUAUUGAAGUCGGAGCGACUGUUUCGAUCUCAAAAUUAAUCUUGGCUUUAAACGAAGAAAUAAAUGAUGAUACGGUGUUCAAGAAAAUCGCAUCCCAUUUGGAGAAAAUUGGUUCUGAAUCCAUCCGGAAUGUAGCGAGUAUAGGCGGAAAUUUGGUAAUGGCGCAAAGAAAGAAUUUUCCUUCCGAUAUUGCUACGGUACUUCUUGCGGUGAAGUCGAAAGUUACCAUCUUGACGGGGGUAAAAAAGGAAAUUCUUACACUUGAGGAGUUUCUUGAAAAGCCUGCAUUAGAUUCAAGAACCGUGCUUUUGAGUGUGUUCGUUCCGUACCCGAAACCAACCAAAAACGGAUACUCGGAAAAAGCGAACGCUAAAGUUAUAUUUCAAACUUAUCGUGCUUCUUCACGUCCUCUUGGAAACGCAUUAGCUUAUUUAAACGCUGCGUUUUUGGCUGAAACGUCUGUAUGUGAUAGAGGCGUUAGAAUUAACAGUGUUCGUCUUGCUUUUGGUUCUUUUGGCGUUAAACACGCGAUAAGCGCAAGCACAGUUGAAAACUAUCUUGUUGGGAAAAUGUUAAGUGUUGAUGUGAUAUAUGAAGCGGUUAAAUUAAUAAGGUUUGCGGUUUCUCCUGAAAGUGGGACGUCACAUUCCGCUUAUCGGUCAAGCUUGGCGGUUGGUUUUCUGUUUGACUUUCUCUGGCCGAUAGUUGAAGCUGAUGGUUGCGUGCGUACAUCGACUUGUAAUUCUUACGGAAUUACGUCAAGAAUGGCGUUUGAUCGUUCUGAAACGACGACAUUGUUGUCAUCGGCAAAGCAGGUGAUAGAAUCGAGCAGCGAACAUUAUCCUGUUGGUGAAGCGAUUGUAAAGUCUGGUUCUGCAAUCCAAGCUUCGGGUGAAGCGAUAUUUGUAGAUGACAUUCCUUCACCGUUGAACUGCCUUCACGGAGCAUUUAUCUACAGCACCAAACCGUUGGCACGGGUAAAGCGUAUUAAAUUAAACUCCAAAAAAGACGUACAUUCCGUCGUUACAUUUCAAGAUAUUCCAAAAGGAGGUGAUAAUAUAGGAUCCAAGACCCUUUUCGGUCCGGAACCGUUAUUUGCCGAUGAACUUACUCAGUGUGCAGGCCAGCGUAUAGCGUUUGCGGUUGCAAAUACACAAAAGAUUGCUGAUGUGCUAGCCGAUACAGCCAUGGUUGAUUAUGAUAUGGAAGACUUGGAACCACCUAUAUUAACCGUUGAACAGGCGGUCGAGAAAUCGAGUUUUUUUGAAAUACCGUCAUUCUUAUAUCCGUCACAUGUUGGUGAUUUCUCCAAGGGAAUGGCUGAAUCUGAACACCAAAUCCACUCUGCUGAGAUUCAACUUCCGUCACAAUACUAUUUCUAUAUGGAAACGCAAACCGCAUUAGCUGUCCCAGAUGAAGACAACUGCAUGGUGGUGUAUAGUUCCAUUCAGGUCCCUGAAUAUGCGCAAAGUGUCAUAGCACGGUGUCUUAACGUUCCCGAACAUAACGUUCGUGUGAUUACUAGAAGGGUUGGUGGCGGUUUUGGUGGCAAGGCUCUUAAAGCUAUGCCCGUUGCGACAGCAUGUGCGCUUGCAGCAUACAGAUUACGCCGUCCUGUGCGAACGUACACGAACCGGAAAACCGACAUGAUAAUGGCAGGAGGAAGACAUCCCAUGAAGAUAAAAUACACCAUCGGGUUCAAAUCAAACGGAAAGAUCACAGCCCUACAUCUUGAUAUUCUAAUAAACGCCGGUAUGUCACCCGAUAUUAGCCCCGUGUUACCAUGGAACAUGUUGUGUGCACUAAAAAAAUACAAUUUCGGUGCAUUAUCAUUCGACUUUAAAGUAUGUAAAACGAACCAUUCUAGUAAAUCCGCAAUGCGGGCCCCAGGAGAAGUGCAAGCAUCUUUUAUCGCCGAAGCGGUUAUAGAACACAUCGCGAGUUAUCUUUCGUUAGAUGCCGGUCUUGUCAGGGAAAUGAACUUUCAUAGUUAUGAUAGUCUUCGGUUAUUUUAUGGCGUUGGUGCCGGUGAGCCUUUAGAGUAUACUUUACCAACCAUAUGGGAUAAGUUAAUGAAAUCCUCAAACUUUGACUAUAGAGUUGAAACCGUCAACACGUUUAAUAAAAACAAUUUAUGGCGAAAAAAGGGUAUUUCUCGGAUUCCCAUUUUGCACGAGGUGUCGUUGAGGCCGACACCUGGCAAAGUGAGUAUAUUACGGGAUGGUUCGGUUGUGGUGGAAGUCGGUGGUAUUGAGUUGGGUCAAGGGCUAUGGACCAAGGUUAAACAAAUGACCGCUUAUUGUCUAAGUGCGGUUCAGUGUGACGGAACUGAUACGCUCUUGGACAAGGUUCGGGUCAUACAAGCGGACACUUUGAGUAUGGUUCAAGGUGGGUUCACUGCCGGAAGUACAACUUCCGAAGCGAGUUGCGAAGCGGUCAGACUUUGUUGCAGCGUUUUGGUUGAAAGACUCGUUUCGUUGAAGGAAAAGCUAAAAGAACAAUCGGGUUCGGUCGAUUGGGAUUUACUUAUUAUGCAGGCGAAUAUGUACUCGAUAAAUUUAUCUGCAAGUUCAUUUUUUGUACCGGAGUUUACGUCUAUGAGAUACAUUAACUAUGGAGCUGCAGUUAGUGAGGUGGAAGUAAAUCUUCUGACCGGAGAGACCAAAAUCUUGCAAACCGACAUCGUAUAUGAUUGUGGACAGAGCUUGAAUCCCGCCGUGGAUUUGGGACAGAUCGAAGGGGCUUUCGUACAAGGGAUCGGGUUUUUCAUGCUUGAAGAAUAUCUUACAAAUUCCGAUGGCAUGGUGGUUGUGGAUGGCACAUGGACGUACAAGAUACCGACGAUCGACACCAUACCUAAACAACUAAACGUGCAAAUACUAAACAGCGGGCAUCAUAAAAAGCGCGUGCUAUCUUCAAAAGCUUCGGGUGAGCCACCGUUACUUCUUGCGGCUUCGGUUCAUUGUGCGACUAGAGCCGCCAUUAAAGAAGCGAGAAAGCAACUGUGUUCUUGGAAGCGGUUAGAUGGUUCUGAUCCGAUGUUUCAGUUAGAUGUUCCUGCUACCAUGCCGGUGGUGAAAACGCUUUGUGGGCUCGAUAACGUCGAGUUUUACCUUCAGAGUUUGUUGUCUAGUUCAUGAAAAUGAAAAUGGUAAGGAUGUUGAUAUUGAUCUUGUUGCUUUAAGACAUGGGAUUUGCCAUGGAGAAGAGGUAUUGAUGAUGGGAAAUGAACUCAAUGAGAACUGAUGAGUUCAACAAUCAUCAAUGGAAGAAUGGUCAAGAUCAAACUGGUCAAUCGCUUCUAGUGACAUAAGCAAGUUUAAUUUAGUUUUAAUUCAUGCAGGUGUGCCAUGACAGUGAUUAUGGGUGAUGGACGUAAUGUGAUGCUUUGAUGGCGGAGACAUAAAUGAGUCAAGCCAUUGCAUUAAGUUCUAUUAUAUAUUGUUGGUUGAGACGAACGUCACCCACGGUCUAAAGGAGCAUUGGUUCGUCAAAUGUAAUUCAAAGGGGGUGGCGACUGGUGGAAUUGCAAUUUAGAACCAGUUUGCGGUUGUUUGGUUCAUGGUCGCACUUAAAAAGGUUAGCGUCGGUUUGGAGGUUUGCAACAUUCUCAGAAUGUCUCGUAUUUGUGAUGACGGGCUCUGGAUGGCUAGUGUGAUGGUCCGAGUUCCGGUUGGGCAAAUGUGGCUUAGACACAUAAGUUGAUUUAGAUUGUCACAUUGGUUCAUUCAGGGAUUGGUUGCCAAAAAAAAAAAAAAAAAACCCGGCAGCUGCGACAAAAGAAAAAAAAAACUAAACCUUCAAUCUUCA